GCGAGUGGUGAACGGCUGAGUAACACGUGGAGAACCUGCCCCUCCCCCGGGAUAGCCGCCCGAAAGGACGGGUAAUACCGGAUACCCCCGGGAGCCGCAUGGCUCCCGGGCUAAAGCCCCCGACGGGAGGGGAUGGCUCCGCGGCCCAUCAGGUAGACGGCGGGGUGACGGCCCACCGUGCCGACAACGGGUAGCCGGGUUGAGAGACCGACCGGCCAGAUUGGGACUGAGAUACGGCCCAG
RNAcentral lists this ribosomal RNA (242 nucleotides) under uncultured bacterium. Its description in RNAcentral is "partial 16S ribosomal RNA". It matches the Rfam family "Bacterial small subunit ribosomal RNA", at positions 91 to 334 of the family's 1533-position model. The record is from RNAcentral.